Molecule: long non-coding RNA, 974 nt
Organism: Esox lucius (northern pike)
Lineage: Eukaryota; Metazoa; Chordata; Actinopteri; Esociformes; Esocidae
Source: Ensembl
UGGAUUUACUCAUUGUUUUAUUACAAUUUGAUGAACUCCCGAAACAAACGAAGAUUAAGGAUUUUUUGGAUAUCAGAACUAAAAUUGUUGAACGCCGAUCCUACAUAGCUAUGGUGAGUUCUGUUCCAUUAUAAAUAACUAGCGUUAAGUGUUGUUAGGUUACUGAGUAAGAACGUAAUUACUGUUUUGUAUUAAACAAGGACUGUUUACAAUAUUCUAUUAACAUUCAAGGAUGACUGUGUGGCAGCAGUUCCACGCCAGGUAUGUGAAUUACAUGUUGAUCUCGUAAUUGCUGCAAUGUUUACUUGGUUUCACCAUAUUUACCUGUUCACCAACUUUUAUGUUUAUUUUUAGCUCUGCACAUGACGGUAAGAAUGAAUAUUUUGGUGGACACUGCGAUUUGAGUUCUGACUGUAAAAUAACCAGAUAUUUAUGACUGAAUAAUUAACUGUCUGUAUUUACAUUCAGAACAUUUGGAGAUCAAGCGGCUGACUGAAGAGAAGGUCGAGCUGAGGGCACAGCUGUCUCUACAAUCAGCUUCUAAAAAUGUCUGACUGAAAAGAAUGUCAAGCUGAGGGCACAGCUGCCUCUACAAUCAGGAGCCAUAAGGAAAAAUCUUUCCAACCGGGAUGCCACUGAUGAGGCUGUCCAGAUGAAUGACAUCUCCAGCACAACCAAUAUUGCUGCUAAGCUGUAGUUCUGUAGCCUAUUUCUUAUUUAUUUCUACUGCUGCUAUGUACAGUGUUAUAUAUGAUUGCAUUAUCCUCAAUAUAUUUAUAGCUCUCUGUGAAUGUUCUUAAUUCUGACUGUAGUUGUAGUGUUAUGCCACCAUUCAUAAGCUUAUUGUACUGAUGUAUGUUUGAUAUUCAAUAACUAUUGAUUGCUGCUAGGUCAUACUUAUGUAUAUUACUGCCAUUCUAGCCCUUGUUUAUUUUGUAUUGUAUUAUGUUUAUUUUGUACUUUCACAUUCAAAU